RNAcentral lists this ribosomal RNA (319 nucleotides) under Nostocaceae cyanobacterium GS5-1. RNAcentral's name for it is "bacterial SSU rRNA". It matches the Rfam family "Bacterial small subunit ribosomal RNA", at positions 468 to 786 of the family's 1533-position model. The record is from RNAcentral. Lineage: Bacteria; Bacillati; Cyanobacteriota; Cyanophyceae; Nostocales; Nostocaceae.
AAUGACGGUACCUGAGGAAUAAGCAUCGGCUAACUCCGUGCCAGCAGCCGCGGUAAUACGGAGGAUGCAAGCGUUAUCCGGAAUGAUUGGGCGUAAAGCGUCCGCAGGUGGCUAUGAAAGUCUGCUGUUAAAGAGCAAGGCUCAACCUUGUAAAGGCAGUGGAAACUACAUGGCUAGAGUGCGUUCGGGGCAGAGGGAAUUCCUGGUGUAGCGGUGAAAUGCGUAGAGAUCAGGAAGAACACCGGUGGCGAAAGCGCUCUGCUAGGCCGCAACUGACACUGAGGGACGAAAGCUAGGGGAGCGAAUGGGAUUAGAUACC